Molecule: long non-coding RNA, 537 nt
Organism: Nycticebus coucang (slow loris)
Lineage: Eukaryota; Metazoa; Chordata; Mammalia; Primates; Lorisidae
Exons: 3
Source: RefSeq, a predicted model, not a curated record
CUGUGACUUGAAAGGUUUUUUUUUUUCUUCUUGGAUGAAUAUCAUAGCCAGGGAGGAUGUGUGUCUGAAGUAACACCAGGUUCUCAGUGCCUAAGAAGAGCUCAGGUUGCAAAUGAUGGUGAACUAUUAAAAUUUCCUUUGUCAAAUGUGGAAAUCAAGAGGCUCCAAGACAAAGCACUAAAAAAUUUCAUCAAAGGGCAAGAAAAGCCUGAAGGAUGUAAAUACUUCUGGCUGAUACUGGGAGAGCAAACUGCCACAGGGAGCCAGCAGCUGUUUGGGGACUCUCCGUCUUCCUGGUGUGUAAAUGACUGCUGCCAUGCUGUUCGCAGGUUGAUGGGACAAUGAAGGGACAGCAUACUCUACACCCCGCCGAUUUAUUUCAAGGGUGACAAGACCUUCACAAUCCCUGAAAGGACAUUGCUAUUUCUUUUAUUUUUCCUUUUUUAUUUUAAACUGUUUAAAUAUUAGUGAAAAAAAAUGUUGGAAACAUUUAAUGAGAUACAGAAGGGACAGUCUUAAAACUAUCUAGGUUAGUGU